UCAGGAAUGUCAAUCGCUGCCUGCAUCACAACAAAACGGGAAAGAAACUAAUAAUCAUAUCAGUCAUUAUUGCUGCAUUUUCAGCAUUUCUGGGUGAACGCGUAAUGAACUUAAGAAAGAAAUGUCAUGCUAAUCGGGAGCUGAUCCAAAACCACCUACCCAAUUGUAAACAUAUCAAAGGCCUUGAAUAUGGAUCAGAAGAUAUCACCAUACUUCCAGAUGGACAGGCACUCAUCAGUACCGUAAGUGGCAAAGUGACUGUGGC
Molecule: long non-coding RNA, 265 nt
Organism: Alosa sapidissima (American shad)
Lineage: Eukaryota; Metazoa; Chordata; Actinopteri; Clupeiformes; Clupeidae
Exons: 3
Source: RefSeq, a predicted model, not a curated record